Molecule: ribosomal RNA, 440 nt
Filed under: uncultured bacterium
Lineage: Bacteria
Description: partial 16S ribosomal RNA
Rfam family: Bacterial small subunit ribosomal RNA
Source: RNAcentral
CCUACGGGGGGCAGCAGUGGGGAAUAUUGCACAAUGGGGGAAACCCUGAUGCAGCAACGCCGCGUGGAGGAUGAAGGUUUUCGGAUUGUAAACUCCUUUUGUUAGAGAAGAUAAUGACGGUAUCUAACGAAUAAGCACCGGCUAACUCCGUGCCAGCAGCCGCGGUAAUACGGAGGGUGCAAGCGUUACUCGGAAUAACUGGGCGUAAAGAGCGCGUAGGCGGGAUAGCAAGUCAGAUGUGAAAUCCUUUGGCUUAACCAUAGAACUGCAUUUGAAACUGGUAUUCUAGAGUAUGGGAGAGGUAGGUAGAAUUCUUGGUGUAGGGGUAAAAUCCGUAGAGAUCAAGAGGAAUACUCAUUGCGAAGGCGACCUGCUAGAACAUAACUGACGCUGAUGCGCGAAAGCGUGGGGAGCAAACAGGAUUAGAUACCCUUGUAGUC